UACGUAGGGCGCAAGCGUUAUCCGGAAUUAUUGGGCGUAAAGAGCUCGUAGGCGGUGUGUCGCGUCGGCCGUGAAAACCUGCAGCUUAACUGUGGGCUUGCGGUCGGAUACGGGCAUCACUGGAGUUCAGCAGGGGAGACUGGAAUCCUGGGUGUAGCGGUGAAAUGCGCAGAUAUCAGGAGGAACACCGGUGGUGUAGACGGCUAUCUGGACCGUAACUGACGCUGAGGCACGGAAAGCGUGGGUAGCAACAGG
RNAcentral lists this ribosomal RNA (255 nucleotides) under uncultured bacterium. RNAcentral's name for it is "partial 16S ribosomal RNA". It matches the Rfam family "Bacterial small subunit ribosomal RNA", at positions 524 to 775 of the family's 1533-position model. The record is from RNAcentral.